RNAcentral lists this ribosomal RNA (253 nucleotides) under uncultured bacterium. Its description in RNAcentral is "partial 16S ribosomal RNA". It matches the Rfam family "Bacterial small subunit ribosomal RNA", at positions 524 to 776 of the family's 1533-position model. The record is from RNAcentral.
GACAGAGGUGCCGAGCGUUAGGCGGAAUCACUGGGCUUAAAGCGUGUGUAGGCGGAUCGUUAAGUGCCUUGUGAAAUCCCACGGCUCAACCGUGGAACUGCUGGGCAUACUGCCGAUCUUGAGCCACUUAGGGGCAACCGGAACAAACGGUGGAGCGGUGAAAUGCGUAGAUAUCAGGAGGAACACCAAUUGCGAAGGCAGCUCGCUGGGACGUUACUGACGCUGAGACGCGAAAGCGUGGGGAGCAAACAGG